AAUAAUAAUAAUAAUAGACAUCAAUGCCUCAGUAUACUUUUACUUUGAAGUUGUUUCCGGCAGCGUGUUGCAUCGUAAUGGCUGACUUGACUCGCUGUCCAGACUCUGAGGCAAUGUCGUCACAAAUUGCUGCGACUUCCUAUCGACUGGGACGACACAACGGCGUCGUCAACUAAGGUUCAGUCGCUGGUUAAGGUUGCUAAAAAAAAACGACUUAAUUACGCUGACACUGUAUUCUACAUGGCACCUCCUUUGACGAGGACCUGUCACUGCAGCCCAAAGGCAAGAAGAAGAAAAAG
Hippocampus comes (tiger tail seahorse) is the source of this 299-nucleotide long non-coding RNA. RefSeq lists it as uncharacterized. The transcript is spliced from 2 exons. Lineage: Eukaryota; Metazoa; Chordata; Actinopteri; Syngnathiformes; Syngnathidae. The record is from RefSeq and is a predicted model, not a curated record.